UAGGAAAGGCCUAUUCAGAUCAAUCGGU
This 28-nucleotide non-coding RNA is filed under the name Homo sapiens (human). The record is from RNAcentral. Lineage: Eukaryota; Metazoa; Chordata; Mammalia; Primates; Hominidae.